Molecule: long non-coding RNA, 3461 nt
Organism: Harmonia axyridis
Lineage: Eukaryota; Metazoa; Arthropoda; Insecta; Coleoptera; Coccinellidae
Exons: 2
Source: RefSeq, a predicted model, not a curated record
UUCUAUCCAGCUGAGAUCCGUUUGGAAGCGCGAGAUCCGAUUUCGGAUCUCUGCUUUUUUUCUGUGUAUAUAGCUAGAUAUGAUGUCACUGAGUCUAAUACACUCAUUUCCAAAAAUUUUUGUCGGAUCUCACUCCGGAAGUAAUUUAUCAUUUUUUAUACAGACUUAGUUCUUCAAAUCGCUGUUAGGCGUCUCCAAGAUCGCUGUUUGUAUAUAGAUUUCAAUUUGUACAGAAUCACUACGUUGAAUCCGGCAACAUCUCAUUCUUGAUCCCAUUGAAGGUAUUUAUCAGCGCGCUGCGAUAAGUCGAGUUAUUUAUAGAUAAGAGAUUCCUUAUCUUGCGGAUAUGCGAAUGAAAAUAUUUUCGUACCUAAGAUCUGUGAUGAACAUUUCAGUGCGAAUAUGAUGUUAUGAUUAUUCAUGAUAAUCUAUAAAUUCUUUUUUGCUUUGGGAAUUAUAUGGAUGAAUGAAAAAUUAUAGAACUCACUGCAAAAUCGAAUUGUGCUGUAUGUAGGUACCUUUAUUUUCCAUCCAAAGACUGCCAUUCUCCAUGACAAUUUAGAGAAAGAAACAGAAAAAUUAUUGGAAUUUUAUGUUCGAUUUCGAUCCCUUAUGAUGAAUGAUAUCUGAUAUUACUAAGUAGACUUGUUUCCAAAAGUUGAAAAAUAAGAUGAAUCUCAUUUUUUUGCGCCUGUACCAAGGGCUAUACUCGAUAAUUUGUCCGAAUAUUCGUGCUUUUCUACUAUCAAGCUGAUAAUAGAUUCAGAUUAUUGGGUUCGUCCCACCGAUGAAGAAUAAUAGGUCAAAAUCACAUAUGGCCGUCCAACCAUCUGUGUGUGUAUACACUAUAACUCUCUAACAGAAUGACGUAGAAACUUUUGAAAAUAAGAAGUCGGUUAGGUUCAAUAUUGGACUACAUGGUUUAGGAGUUGAAGAUAUCUGAAAUUUGGUUUCCUCAAGAAAACAGAAUAUAAUUAACCUAUGAUAUAGAAAAACAAGUUUCAUCGGAACAUAACAAAGCUCAAUUUUGAAUUCAGUGGAAAUUGUACCAUUGAAUAAUAUUAAAAAAAACUUCUAUUUUUCUUCAAAGAACAUAUCUGAGAGAAUAUCUGUUGUCGUCGAUAAAAUUUUUUGUUCAUAUAGGUAUAGGUCGUUGAUGGAAUAAGUUCUAUAGAAUUUCUGUUGGUAAAAAUAUUUGUGAGGUUUGAGGUGUCUCUAAAAAUUUUUUUUUCUGGUUUCACCGAAAUUUUGCACAAACUUUCAUUGCCACUAUUUACAACUAAUUUCCGAGUUUGAAUUCUUUCGGAUUUGUUCGAAUUAUUGAAUACAGUAUUUCAGAUGGCCUAAACUGUAGAUUUUGUCAACCAACUACCUCAAUCAAGAUUUUUGCAACCUCUAUAACCAUGAAGAUCUCAAGUCUUCAGCUCAUUAUUUUCAACAAUUAUCGUUUACAUGGACGGCUGGCGGAUGGAUAGAAUAUUAUUUGCCAUAAUAAUUUUCAAUUCAUAAUAUCCUAAAUAAAUUAUGUACUUCACGUCAUUUCUAAAAUAUAAAAAAAUUACAUCAAAUUGGAAUCAAUCAAAACAAUUAUGUAGGUCACGAUCCUACUAAAAAGUCCACAGUUCAUUUCGAAUUCUGAAGCUGCUCAACAAUUAAUAUCGAGUCUUCAAGUCAACUUGUUUUAUGCAGAACAAACUCAUGAAAGGGUUGAAUCCAUUCUCUGAUUCCUUUGAUAUAUGGGUACCUACUUUGAAAUGUUAUUUUCCCAAUGUUUUCUAACCUACAAAGUUGAUUUAAUUGAAAUCUGGUACUUCAUUCUAAAACUGUCGAAUAUAGUUAUCGAAACAUCGACUUUUAGUUUUAGUAAUGAUGCAAUGAUAUACUGGCUGUGCAAUUGGAAAUAAGGAAGUAGUAGUCUGUUUCCUGUAUAACCGGAAGUUGUAGAGGUUUAUUUCAGAGGGAGAGAUCAUUGUCUCAAACCCCAAUAUGCCAAUUAUCAGCACAAAAUCAUGAUUAGUUUUCCAUGAAUAGUGAAUCACCCGGUAAAUAAAUAGUCCUUUUUUGUGUACACACACUUCGUGACUUCGUCAGGUAACAGGCAAUUUUCAUAGAGAGAAAAAUAUUUGUGGAAAUUACUUUAUUUUAUUUAUAAUGAACGUUAAGACCAAAUUCAUUCGAAAUUAAAUUUGAUGAUUCGUCCAAAAUAAAAAUGACAGUAAGAAUCUCAACAGCGUAUUUUUACAAAUGAUAAAUUAAUAUGUGAUUAUUAUAUGACUUCUAGUAAUGAUAACCAUAAUCAAAUUGAAACAUAUUCAACUGUGGUUCUGUUCAUCGGAUCAUGAAGAAUAUGUUUUUUUCUUCAGAAAUAGAAUGCUUUAUUUGAUUAUAAAGCUUCGUAAUAGUUUGAGAAGGUGAGUAUUAUACAACUAUUCGCCAAAAUAUAUAAAUGUUGAAUAUUUAUCAAUUCUCGAAAAAUGUUUGGAUUCAAUAACUUUACAUAUUGUGAGAAUUCGAAGAGAAAAGAGAUCCAUGUUAUUUCAGUCCAUUUUCGCCUGAACCAUUAUUCAGACAUCUUAUAUAGUGAGACGAGAGGGGUGAACAACGGACCAUAUAAAUUUGCAUAAUGCAGGAAUCUUUUCGCAGAAGUAGUUUGUGUUGUUGAGCCAUCAAGACAAAAAUAUGAUCAGAGCAGUUAUUAUCAUUGUGGCAAACUUUUUUUUUUGUCCGGUUGUUGAUAUGGUUAAUCUGCUACCAUGUACAGAAAAUAUCACACCCCAAGCUGAAGAAGAAGCAUGCAGGAUAAUAAAAGAUGCCACUCCUCCAGGAUUCACAAAUAUAGGAGUCCGACCCGAAGUGAGACUCGGAAGAAAUCCUCAUAGAUGGAUUGGAAUUUUUAAUAACAAUGCUGGAACUUACGAAACUGGAUGCCAAGCAAUGUACCAUGUGAAACAACAAUUUAGGAGAUUGGUUCCUCAAGGAUCAGAUCUAUCUUCAAUCAGAAUUAUACCCAGCACAUCAGGGACAACAAUUGAAGUCGAAUAUUUAGUGAAUUGCUUCUGUACUAAGGUUCCUCGAAGAAGACGAAAUAUUUUUGCACAAUGCCAAAUUCGAGGCUACACAACAGAAUCUGGUAUAUGUAAAAAAUGAGUAAUUUCGAAGUUCUUUGUAAUAAUGUGGAAUGAUCUGAUUUUUUUUAACAACGAAAUGAAAGUAGGUAAAAUAAUAUUUUUUGUAAUUUGAAAGACCUGAAUGUAGCUCCCAUUUCAUAAUGGAAAGUAUUGACGAAAAGUUUCUUAUCAAGACUGUAAUUUAUUAUUAUUUCUAAUGGAUAUUUUCGAGGGUACUGUGUAGUUACUCCUUGUUUUAGAAGUUUAGUUUUUGCCAAAUGUUAUUAAUUUGUUAUGAUCAUAUUUUUGUCGUUGUAAUAUACAUUUAACUAAGGAAUAAAUGAGUGUUUAAUA